UACGUAGGGCGCAAGCGUUGUCCGGAAUUAUUGGGCGUAAAGAGCUCGUAGGCGGCCUGUUGCGUCCGCUGUGAAAUCCCGGGGCUUAACCCCGGGCUUGCAGUGGAUACGGGCAGGCUGGAGGCAGGCAGGGGAGAACGGAAUUCCGUGGUGUAGCGGUGAAAAUGCGCAGAUAUCAGGAGGAACACCGGUGGCGAAGGCGGAUCUCUGGGCCCAUUACUGACGCUGAGGAGCGAAAAGCGUGGGGGAGCGAAACAGGG
RNAcentral lists this ribosomal RNA (260 nucleotides) under uncultured bacterium. RNAcentral's name for it is "partial 16S ribosomal RNA". It matches the Rfam family "Bacterial small subunit ribosomal RNA", at positions 524 to 777 of the family's 1533-position model. The record is from RNAcentral.